RNAcentral lists this ribosomal RNA (765 nucleotides) under uncultured Streptococcus sp. RNAcentral's name for it is "bacterial SSU rRNA". It matches the Rfam family "Bacterial small subunit ribosomal RNA", at positions 28 to 776 of the family's 1533-position model. The record is from RNAcentral. Lineage: Bacteria; Bacillati; Bacillota; Bacilli; Lactobacillales; Streptococcaceae.
GACGAACGCUGGCGGCGUGCCUAAUACAUGCAAGUAGAACGCUGAAGCCUGGUGCUUGCACCGAGCGGAUGAGUUGCGAACGGGUGAGUAACGCGUAGGUAACCUGCCUGGUAGCGGGGGAUAACUAUUGGAAACGAUAGCUAAUACCGCAUAAGAGUAGAUAUUGCAUGACAUUUGCUUAAAAGGUGCAAUUGCAUCACUACCAGAUGGACCUGCGUUGUAUUAGCUAGUUGGUGAGGUAACGGCUCACCAAGGCAACGAUACAUAGCCGACCUGAGAGGGUGAUCGGCCACACUGGGACUGAGACACGGCCCAGACUCCUACGGGAGGCAGCAGUAGGGAAUCCUCGGCAAUGGACGGAAGUCUGACCGAGCAACGCCGCGUGAGUGAAGAAGGUUUUCGGAUCGUAAAGCUCUGUUGUAAGAGAAGAACGAGUGUGAGAGUGGAAAGUUCACACUGUGACGGUAUCUUACCAGAAAGGGACGGCUAACUACGUGCCAGCAGCCGCGGUAAUACGUAGGUCCCGAGCGUUGUCCGGAUUUAUUGGGCGUAAAGCGAGCGCAGGCGGUUAGAUAAGUCUGAAGUUAAAGGCUGUGGCUUAACCAUAGUACGCUUUGGAAACUGUUUAACUUGAGUGCAAGAGGGGAGAGUGGAAUUCCAUGUGUAGCGGUGAAAUGCGUAGAUAUAUGGAGGAACACCGGUGGCGAAAGCGGCUCUCUGGCUUGUAACUGACGCUGAGGCUCGAAAGCGUGGGGAGCAAACAGG